This 69-nucleotide transfer RNA is filed under the name Pan troglodytes (chimpanzee). It matches the Rfam family "tRNA". From Rfam's summary of the family: Transfer RNA (tRNA) molecules are approximately 80 nucleotides in length. Their secondary structure includes four short double-helical elements and three loops (D, anti-codon, and T loops). Lineage: Eukaryota; Metazoa; Chordata; Mammalia; Primates; Hominidae. The record is from Rfam by way of RNAcentral.
GAGGGCUUAGCUUAAUUAAAGUGGCUGAUUUGUGUUCAAUUGUUGCAGAAUAGAGUCUUGCAGUCCUUA